CCAGCAGGGGAAAGGCAAGUGGAAGAGAAAACGGCUAGGGCGGAGAAGGUGGAGGAGAAGGCUUCCUCCGACGACGAGCAGACGGCGGGCGGUGGAGACUCAGGCGCAGAGAGAGAGACGAGAGAGAGAGAGAGAGAGAGAGAGAGAGAGAGAGAGAGAGAGAAUUGAGAUUAAGAGUUUAUUAGUUGAACAAUUAGUGAUCUCAUUUAAUGUUAAGCAUCCCCUUAUUAUUUCCUUUUUAGGAAACGGGACAUUAUCGGUGGGACAACCCAAAAAGGAAAAUGGGACUUGAAUAGCGGGACGGAGGGAGUACUAACUUGAUAAGCAGCCUGACUCUUUUUAUAAAAUAUAUAUGGAGAGUUAUUUGGGAAACAUUGCUACUUCAAAUUGGCUUAUUAAAUGUUUGACUAUAGUUUUAUAUAAUUAUUUUAGGUUUUCAAGAGAUGCCUUCCACACAUUAAGGAUUAUGCUUUAGCUGUUUGAAAUUUUGAAACCAGUGACACAUUUUAGUCAAGAAAAUGAACUCACUUUUUUCUUGAUUCUAUAUAUAUAUAUAUAUAUUUAUAUAUUAUUUAUGCAUUUUAAUUUUGUAUUAUAAUUUACUUCAAUAAAAUUAAUAUAAUUACAUGAAUAAAAUAAUUUUUUUAAAUAAUAAAAUAUAAUUUAAAACUAAUAUAGUUAUACUAAUAUAAUUUAAAGCUAAUAUAGUUUACUUUAGAUGAAUUACUUGCUGUUUAGUUUGAGUAAUGAGUUAACCAUUACUCUUAGAGGAUGUUUGGCUAAGCUUAUUUUAAGAGCUUAUAGGAUAUUUCAAGAACUUAUAAAUUGUCAUAAGUGUUUGGAUAAUUGAGUUUAUNAUGAUGUUCCCUCCAACAGCACUAUUCAUCUUCCCUCCUAUAAAUACCCGGCGACUCACACUGAUGACACUAUAAAAUAUUAAAAUAUGGUAUAGACAUAGUUAAAAGAGAAAGAUUUAGAGGUUGUGAAUUUGUAUUGUAUUGCUUGAGUUAUUGAGAAUUACAGCAACCCUUUUAUAGGGUUGGAGAAAGAUAUACAAGAAAAUAAUAAAUAAGACGGAUGAGUGCCGUGACGCAGCUAGAGCUUCCGACCCUCAAGGAGCAGGAGAGAAAGCUAGGGCGGAGGAGGUGGAGGAGAAGGCUUCCUCCGGCGACGAGCAGACAACGGGCAGUGGAGACUCGGGCGCAGAGAGAGAGAGACGAGAGAGAGAGAGAUAAUAGAGGGGAAAUUAAUUAGGGUCCCUUGAAUUCCAAAAUUAAUUAAGGGUUUAUUAGUUGAACAAUUUGUGGCUUAAUUUACUUUAACUAUGCCCUUAUUAUUUCCUAAAAUAGAAACGAGACAUUAUCGGUGGGACAACACAAAAAGAAAUACGAGACAUGAAUAGCGGGACGGAGGGAGUACUUUGUUUUACUUUUACUUUUCAUCAUUUCACCAUUCCCAAUAUUAAUCAUUCCCUCCGUCCUAGUUUUUAGUAUCCAUUUGAGAGUGACAUGAGUUUUAAUAAAGUGGUUGAGUGUGUUAUGAGUGGAAUAAGGAUCCUACAUUUUAUGUGAGUGUUAAAAUAAUUAAAUUGGG
RNAcentral lists this long non-coding RNA (1593 nucleotides) under Salvia miltiorrhiza (redroot sage). RNAcentral's name for it is "long non-coding RNA (SMIL_LNC008029)". Lineage: Eukaryota; Viridiplantae; Streptophyta; Magnoliopsida; Lamiales; Lamiaceae. The record is from RNAcentral.